This 449-nucleotide ribosomal RNA is filed under the name uncultured bacterium. RNAcentral describes it as "partial 16S ribosomal RNA". It matches the Rfam family "Bacterial small subunit ribosomal RNA", at positions 329 to 795 of the family's 1533-position model. The record is from RNAcentral.
AGCCAGACUCCUACGGGAGGCAGCAGUGGGGAAUAUUGCACAAUGGGGGGAACCCCGAUGCAGCGACGCCGCGUGGGCGAGGAAGUAUUUCGGUAUGUAAAGCCCUAUCGGCAGGGAAGAAGAAAUGACGGUACCUGACUAAGAAGCCCCGGCUAACUACGUGCCAGCAGCCGCGGUAAUACGGAGGAUGCGAGCGUUAUCGGGUUUUAUUGGGUUUAAAGGGUGCGUAGGCGGGCUGUUAAGUCAGCGGGAAAUUGGGGGGGCUAACCCCCGGCCUGCCGUUGAAACUGGCGGCCUCGAGUGGGCGAGAAGUAUGCGGAAUGCGUGGUGUAGCGGUGAAAUGCAUAGAUAUCACGCAGAACUCCGAUUGCGAAGGCAGCAUACCGGCGCCCUACUGACGCUGAGGCACGAAAGCGUGGGUAUCGAACAGGAUUAGAUACCCCGGUAAC